AGAAUCAACGCUGGCGGCGUGCCUAACACAUGCAAGUCGCACGAGAAAGGGUAGCAAUACCUGAGUACAGUGGCGCACGGGUGAGUAACACGUGAAUUAUCUACCUCCGAGUGGGGAAUAACUGAGAGAAAUCUUAGCUAAUACCGCAUAACACUUACGAGUCAAAGCAGCAAUGCGCUUGGAGAGGAGUUCGCGGCAGAUUAGUUAGUUGGCGGGGUAAUGGCCCACCAAGACGAUGAUCUGUAUCCGGCCUGAGAGGGGCGCGACGGACGACGACCUGGAACUGAAACACGGUCCAGACUCCUACGGGAGGCAGCAGUGGGGAAUUUUGCGCAAUGGGGGAAACCCUGACGCAGCAACGCCGCGUGGAGGAUGAAAUAUCUUGGUAUGUAAACUCCUUUCGAUUGGGAAGAUUAUGACGGUACCCAUAGAAGAAGCCCGGCUAACUUCGUGCCAGCAGCCGC
This 464-nucleotide ribosomal RNA is filed under the name uncultured bacterium. RNAcentral describes it as "SSU rRNA". It matches the Rfam family "Bacterial small subunit ribosomal RNA", at positions 26 to 518 of the family's 1533-position model. The record is from RNAcentral.